GGAUUGUAGCUUAGUGGCAAAGUGCUUGCUUAGCACACAGAGGCCCUGGGUUCGAUCCUCAGCACCA
RNAcentral lists this transfer RNA (67 nucleotides) under Marmota monax (woodchuck). RNAcentral describes it as "tRNA.Ala". Lineage: Eukaryota; Metazoa; Chordata; Mammalia; Rodentia; Sciuridae. The record is from RNAcentral.